UGGGGAAUCUUGCACAAUGGGCGAAAGCCUGAUGCAGCCAUGCCGCGUGAGUGAAGAAGGCCUUAGGGUUGUAAAACUCUUUCAGCGGGGAAGAUAAUGACGGUACCCGCAGAAGAAGCCCCGGCUAACUCCGUGCCAGCAGCCGCGGUAAUACGGAGGGGGCUAGCGUUGUUCGGAUUUACUGGGCGUAAAGCGCACGUAGGCGGAUUAUUAAGUCGGGGGUGAAAGCCCGAGGCCCAACCUCGGAACUGCCCUCGAUACUGGUAAUCUUGAGUCCGGGAGAGGUGAGUGGAAUUCCUAGUGUAGAGGUGAAAUUCGUAGAUAUUAGGAAGAACACCAGUGGCGAAGGCGGCUCACUGGCCCGGUACUGACGCUGAGGAGCGAAAGCGUGGGGAGCAAACAGGAUUAGAUACCCUGGUAGUCCACGCCGUAAACGAUGGAUGCUAGCUGUCGGUGGGCAUGCCCUUCGGUGGCGCAGCUAACGCAUUAAGCAUCCCGCCUGGGGAGUACGGUCGCAAGAUUA
Molecule: ribosomal RNA, 523 nt
Filed under: uncultured bacterium
Lineage: Bacteria
Description: bacterial SSU rRNA
Rfam family: Bacterial small subunit ribosomal RNA
Source: RNAcentral